Panicum virgatum (switchgrass) is the source of this 318-nucleotide long non-coding RNA. RefSeq lists it as uncharacterized. The record is from RefSeq and is a predicted model, not a curated record. The transcript has 2 exons. NCBI's taxonomy places the organism in Eukaryota, Viridiplantae, Streptophyta, Magnoliopsida, Poales, Poaceae.
CAUAAAUCUGUUUCCUGUGCUCCAAACUUGCCACCUAUUAGCAUAGUAUAAUUUUAAAAUCACAAAGAAAAAUAUCUGCUCAAGCAAGCGGAUUUGUAGGUUUACCUUCAUUUUUAGGAGUUCAAAGAGCUAGAAGUCUAUUAAUGAUGGCUCAGCUGUAUUCACAAACAACUUUCUAGCUAAGCUAUCAUUCUAAUUGUUUAUGCAGAAUUGGAGAUUGAAAGCCCAGCUAUAUGUGCAGGUUGUGAACAAACUUACUCUAGUUCCUAAAGGAUAUAAAUAGUGCAAUUAUGAUGUGUUGUUAUGGUCCAAGUACGG